AGAGUUUGAUCCUGGCUCAGAUUGAACGCUGGCGGCAGGCCUAACACAUGCAAGUCGAACGGUAACAGGAAACAGCUUGCUGUUUCGCUGACGAGUGGCGGACGGGUGAGUAAUGUCUGGGAAACUGCCUGAUGGAGGGGGAUAACUACUGGAAACGGUAGCUAAUACCGCAUAACGUCGCAAGACCAAAGAGGGGGACCUUCGGGCCUCUUGCCAUCGGAUGUGCCCAGAUGGGAUUAGCUAGUAGGUGGGGUAACGGCUCACCUAGGCGACGAUCCCUAGCUGGUCUGAGAGGAUGACCAGCCACACUGGAACUGAGACACGGUCCAGACUCCUACGGGAGGCAGCAGUGGGGAAUAUUGCACAAUGGGCGCAAGCCUGAUGCAGCCAUGCCGCGUGUAUGAAGAAGGCCUUCGGGUUGUAAAGUACUUUCAGCGGGGAGGAAGGGAGUAAAGUUAAUACCUUUGCUCAUUGACGUUACCCGCAGAAGAAGCACCGGCUAACUCCGUGCCAGCAGCCGCGGUAAUACGGAGGGUGCAAGCGUUAAUCGGAAUUACUGGGCGUAAAGCGCACGCAGGCGGUUUGUUAAGUCAGAUGUGAAAUCCCCGGGCUCAACCUGGGAACUGCAUCUGAUACUGGCAAGCUUGAGUCUCGUAGAGGGGGGUAGAAUUCCAGGUGUAGCGGUGAAAUGCGUAGAGAUCUGGAGGAAUACCGGUGGCGAAAGCGGCCCCCUGGACGAAGACUGACGCUCAGUGCGAAAGCGUGGGGAGCAAACAGGAUUAGAUACCCUGUAGUCCACGCCGUAAACGAUGUCGACUUGGAGGUUGUGCCCUUGAGGCGUGGCUUCCGGAGCUAACGCGUUAGUCGACCGCCUGGGGAGUACGGCCGCAAGGUUAAAACUCAAAUGAAUUGACGGGGCCCGCACAGCGGUGGAGCAUGUGGUUUAAUUCGAUGCAACGCGAGAACCUUACCUGGUCUUGACAUCACAGACUUUCCAGAGAAUGAUUGGUGCCCUCGGGAACGGGAAGCAGGUGCUGCAUGGCUGGUCUACACCUC
This 1056-nucleotide ribosomal RNA is filed under the name Shigella sp. AB5242. RNAcentral describes it as "bacterial SSU rRNA". It matches the Rfam family "Bacterial small subunit ribosomal RNA", at positions 8 to 1061 of the family's 1533-position model. Lineage: Bacteria; Pseudomonadati; Pseudomonadota; Gammaproteobacteria; Enterobacterales; Enterobacteriaceae. The record is from RNAcentral.